AUUGAACGCUGGCGGAAUGCUUUACACAUGCAAGUCGAACGGCAGCGCGGGUGCUUGCACCUGGCGGCGAGUGGCGAACGGGUGAGUAACAUAUCGGAACGUGCCCAGUAAUGGGGGAUAACUAACCGAAAGGUUAGCUAAUACCGCAUACGCCCUGAGGGGGAAAGCGGGGGAUCGAAAGACCUCGCGUUAUUGGAGCGGCCGAUAUCUGAUUAGCUAGUUGGUGGGGUAAAGGCCCACCAAGGCGACGAUCAGUAGCUGGUCUGAGAGGAUGAUCAGCCGCACUGGGACUGAGACACGGCCCAGACUCCUACGGGAGGCAGCAGUGGGGAAUUUUGGACAAUGGGCGAAAGCCUGAUCCAGCCAUUCCGCGUGAGUGAAGAAGGCCUUCGGGUUGUAAAGCUCUUUCGGCAGGAACGAAACGCUCUAGAUUAAUACUCUGGGGUAAUGACGUUACCCGCAGAAAAAGCACUGGCUAACUCUGUGCCAGCCGCCGCCGUAA
Molecule: ribosomal RNA, 502 nt
Filed under: uncultured bacterium
Lineage: Bacteria
Description: partial 16S ribosomal RNA
Rfam family: Bacterial small subunit ribosomal RNA
Source: RNAcentral